Trichechus manatus latirostris (Florida manatee) is the source of this 240-nucleotide long non-coding RNA. RefSeq lists it as uncharacterized. Lineage: Eukaryota; Metazoa; Chordata; Mammalia; Sirenia; Trichechidae. The transcript has 3 exons. The record is from RefSeq and is a predicted model, not a curated record.
GCUUGGAAGAAGUACAGCCAGAAUGCUCCUUAGACUUAAUGGCGCUGUAAGCAGGAUCUGAAGCUACAAAUCCAGUCAACUGCAAAGAGACCUGGACUGCAGAACAGAAGCCGUCAAAGAGAGAGAAGGUCCUAUCUUCUGGACCCACGUGUUCCCACUCCAUGUCCCUUCGACAUUGACGGGAUAAGUUUUUACUUUGCUGAUAUGCUGAAAAAGUUUGACCCAAAUAUCUCAACAAAA